Molecule: long non-coding RNA, 2894 nt
Organism: Mauremys reevesii (Reeves's turtle)
Lineage: Eukaryota; Metazoa; Chordata; Testudines; Geoemydidae
Exons: 4
Source: RefSeq, a predicted model, not a curated record
GUGCCUGAAAAAAGGGUUUAGGAAAGCUCAGUUAGCAAUAGCCUCUAGGGAGCAUGAUAUAGCCAAAAGUUCACUAGGUAAAGAAGUAUGGUAGAGACCCUGAAGAAGGAAGGGACAGACUGUAAAAGUUAUCCAGGCAGGGAGGUGUGAACUGCAGAGCUCUGCAGACAGUGGAGAAACCUGAGACCUUAUAGCAGAAGGAGCUUCUGCUGGAAUCCAGAGAUUUUUGUUUUGGGACUUCUACGUUUUAUCUGGGCUCUGAGGGAAGGAUCAGCCUGCUGAGCCUCAGACUCCUUUUGAGUCCCACUUAAGAGUGGACUCUGGCAAGGUAGUGGAAUCUUCAAACCUCUUCUCUGAGGACAAGCUGCUGCCUUCAGCUGACAAAGGAUUGAGGAUAUUUCCUGACUGCUGUUCACAGGGAAAGCAGUUGGCUCUGCCAAUGGAAAAUGAAGCCAAUGGUUUUCAGUGGGAGCAGAAUCAAAGGGAGCGUGCGGGUUAAGAAAAAAAGUAUGCUCGGAGUACUUAGGACGCUAAUUACCGUUUAGUCAUGCCACGAAAAGAAGAUUACACAGGAAAAAGUGGAGAGCCUGGAAAGUGGUGAAGAAGAAUUCUAAAAAUACAUGGAACCCUCAUAACCCUUUUUUUUAUUACCCCUCCCAAAAAUACCAGGACUGAACUGAGGGAGGGGGCAGAGAGUAUGUAAGUGGUUGUGCUAUGUGGACACUGUCAAUGCAACUAGUUAGGAGGAAACUCUGACCAUACGGUAGUGUCACAUCUUUAAAAUCCAAAUUGAAUAUGGUAAGAUUAAUAAAUGAAAAGUGAUUCAAAAUGCUACUUGACUUAGAAAACUCAGGAUAUGCUUGGGGGAGGAGGGAGAAAGGUAUUUGAAUGUUUAAAAAUUAAAGAGAAGCAGCUUUGCCUACAGUCCUCCUGACAAAGUUGUUAGGCAAUAUUGCAUGACAGCAUACUCUGUAAUUUUCACAUGUUGAAGGGUUAUUUAAAAACUGAUGAUAAAAUGCUAUUGUGCAAGAGGAAUAACGUUCUACUGUACAAUUUAGAAAACAGGAAGCAAACAAUCUCAAAAACGCACUCUCCUAACCUCACUGGAAGUCUCCACACCAAAGGAUUAGCUUAGCAAACUGAAAUGGAUAUUUCAUAUUUUUCUUACUUGACUAACGCCCCUUGGGAGUUAGUAAUGAGAGACUCCACCCUACAUAAAGGCAACUUUAUUCUCUGCAACUGUAAAAUACUCAAGUGGUUUCAAAGUAAUCUGGAAAUUCUUUGUGCUCAACCUCUAGUAAGUUUGAUGCUGCUGUUUUCAAAAGGACACUUCUCCAACUUUAGCUUUUGCUGAAGGAAGGGGCAUGCUGUGCAAAACUCUUAUUUUGUGUAGGUGUUAAUUAUGGCAAACGUCUGAUAAGAUCUUCUUUGUAGAUAAAUAGUAGAGUGAGGACAAAUGUGAAUGAUUUUCUUCACAGCACCAGGUAUGAGAAGGAAAGUGCUAUGUCCUAUAUACUAAUAACCUAAUGAAAUUUUAGCUUUUUCCAAACUGAACAUACAGGGUGACACUUUAUCCCAGCAGCCAUUUACUGUUAUCAUCUUUACACUUUUCUUUUCCCUGUACAACUCUGCAGGUUGUUUUUUAUUUAGUUCAGUAGUCUCCUGGGUUGAGUAAAGAUCAGAGAGCAGCUCCUGUUCCUUCGUUCAUUCUCCCCCACAAUUUAUGUGCUGUAUUUUUAUUGCUUCCUCCACUUCAGCAGGGGAUAGGGUGCAGCUCUCUUUCACCUCCCAGUGGUUUAACAAGCCCCAACUGCCAGCUGUUCAUUCCAAGCCCGGAAUCCCAGGCCAGUCUUCAUGGCUAGUUUUUCCUUUCCUACCCGGCUCUGGCACAUACACCCCCAUCACUGAAAUAUAUUCUGCUGCUCCAUCAGAUAGCCACCCCUCUUCCCUCCUUGGUCUCCACAAGGGAUUGUUGUGUUCUGUGUGGAAGAGGGGGCAAGGGCAUGGACACUCAGUGUGGCAUAUCCCACUUUGCAACAGCAGCAAAAAUUAUGCAAUUUGCAUUGUAAACUGUUUCCCAGAGCAGCUGUCACUCCCACUCCAUGGCUUUCAAAGACCACACAACAGGUUAGAGCACAGGAGUACUAAGCAGAGCUCUGUGAGUCAUGCUGACAGUCAUGGGAGAGUGGUGUCAGAGAAGGCUCAGGAGGAAAGGGACUCCCCUUCCUCCUCAGAGCUUGAGAGCCAAAGAGUCUUCCAUUUGUAUCGCUGAAAAUCCCAGGCCUGUAUCAGUACCUGGAUCCACACAGUUGCUGGAUGAUGAAGCAGAUUCCUGGCUCUUCUAGAGACGUGCAUUUCAGGAGGCUUGCAUUCUCCUGCUGUGCAGUUUGAAGGGUGGAGGGGAGUAUACAGUCCUAUUCAUUCUAUUGUACAGUAUGGUGGCCCUACCGCAGGUAGUGACCAGCCCAGAUCCUCAAAGAUAUUUAGGCACUCAGCUCCCCAUAGGAUUUAAGUGCCUAAAUACCACUGAGAAUCUGGGGCCAAGUGCUUAAAAUAAAUGUGUGAUUUGCUGAGAGUUAACAAGGAGCAGAAAACAUUUAGUUACUCAGUACAAUGUUCCCAUCUAUGUAUGUAUUAUCUGAAGUACUUAUAUGGCCCCCAUCAUGGUAGUGUAUGAGCACCUGAUAAUCUCCUAGUGCAUUUAUCCUCUCAAAGCCCCUGGGACAUAGGGCAGCAUUAUUUUGCAGUUGGGGAACUGAGGCACAGAGAAACAAAGUGACUUGCCCAAGGUCACAGGACAUCUGGAGAGGAGCAGCAAACAGAACCCAGGUCUGCCAACUCCUAUGCUAGCACCCUACUCACUGGACAGAUCUUCUUCCUCUCCCAGACGCUCA